CAGCCGCCGCGGGAAUACAGAGGGUGCGAGCGUUAAUCGGAUUUACUGGGCGUAAAGCGUGCGUAGGCGGCUUCUUAAGUCGGAUGUGAAAUCCCUGAGCUUAACUUAGGAAUUGCAUUCGAUACUGGGAAGCUAGAGUAUGGGAGAGGAUGGUAGAAUUCCAGGUGUAGCGGUGAAAUGCGUAGAGAUCUGGAGGAAUACCGAUGGCGAAGGCAGCCAUCUGGCCUAAUACUGACGCUGAGGUACGAAAGCAUGGGGAGCAAACAGGAUUAGAUACCCGCGUAGUCCCUGUCUCUUAUAA
Molecule: ribosomal RNA, 301 nt
Filed under: uncultured bacterium
Lineage: Bacteria
Description: partial 16S ribosomal RNA
Rfam family: Bacterial small subunit ribosomal RNA
Source: RNAcentral